RNAcentral lists this ribosomal RNA (497 nucleotides) under uncultured bacterium. Its description in RNAcentral is "partial 16S ribosomal RNA". It matches the Rfam family "Bacterial small subunit ribosomal RNA", at positions 28 to 507 of the family's 1533-position model. The record is from RNAcentral.
GAUGAACGCUGGCGGCGUGCCUAAUACAUGCAAGUCGAGCGAACAGACGAGGAGCUUGCUCCUCUGACGUUAGCGGCGGACGGGUGAGUAACACGUGGAUAACCUACCUAUAAGACUGUGAUAACUUCGGGAAACCGGAGCUAAUACCGGAUAAUAUAUUGAACCGCAUGGUUCAAUAGUGAAAGACGGUUUUGCUGUCACUUAUAGAUGGAUCCGCGCCGCAUUAGCUAGUUGGUAAGGUAACGGCUUACCAAGGCCACGAUGCGUCGCCGACCUGAGCGGGUGAUCGGCCACCUUGGAACUGAGACACGGUCCAGACUACUACGAGAGGCAGCAGUAGGGAAUCUUCCGCAAUGGGCGAAAGCCUGACGGAGCAACGCCGAGUGAGUGAUGAAGGUCUUCGGAUCGGAAAACUCUGUUAUUAGGGAAGAACAAAUGUGUAAGUAACUAUGCCCGUCUUGACGGUACCUAAACAGAAAGCCACGGCUAACUACGUG